This 253-nucleotide ribosomal RNA is filed under the name uncultured bacterium. RNAcentral's name for it is "partial 16S ribosomal RNA". It matches the Rfam family "Bacterial small subunit ribosomal RNA", at positions 524 to 776 of the family's 1533-position model. The record is from RNAcentral.
GACGUAGGGCGCGAGCGUUGUCCGGAUUUAUUGGGCGUAAAGAGCUCGUAGGCGGCUUGUCGCGUCGUCCGUGAAAACCCACAGCUCAACUGUGGGCUUGCGGUCGAUACGGGCAGGCUAGAGUUCGGUAGGGGAGACUGGAAUUCCUGGUGUAGCGGUGAAAUGCGCAGAUAUCAGGAGGAACACCGGUGGCGAAGGCGGGUCUCUGGGCCGAUACUGACGCUGAACGGCGAAAGCUAGGGGAGCAAACGGG